UGGGCGCAAGCCUGGAUGCAGCCAUGCCGCGUGUGUGAAGAAGGCCUUCGGGUUGUAAAGCACUUUCAGUCGUGAGGAAGGCGGUGUAGUUAAUAGCUGCAUCGUUUGACGUUAGCGACAGAAGAAGCACCGGCUAWCUCCGUG
Molecule: ribosomal RNA, 144 nt
Filed under: Vibrio parahaemolyticus
Lineage: Bacteria; Pseudomonadati; Pseudomonadota; Gammaproteobacteria; Vibrionales; Vibrionaceae
Description: partial 16S ribosomal RNA
Rfam family: Bacterial small subunit ribosomal RNA
Source: RNAcentral